This 150-nucleotide ribosomal RNA is filed under the name uncultured eukaryote. RNAcentral describes it as "partial small subunit ribosomal RNA". It matches the Rfam family "Eukaryotic small subunit ribosomal RNA", at positions 1651 to 1799 of the family's 1831-position model. The record is from RNAcentral.
CCCUGCCAUUUGUACACACCGCCCGUCGCUCCUACCAAUUGAAUGAUCCGGUGAAAUGUUCGGAUCAGAGCUGACCCUGGGGCAACUCUGGAAGGUUCAGAGAAUUUCAUUAAACCUUAUCAUUUAGAGGAAGGAGAAGUCGUAACAAGG